UGGCCAUAGAAGGCUUGCAAAGCAGUUAUCUGAGGAAAACACCAGCUUAUCAAGCUCAUUUCACCCAUUCAUCUUCAGUAGUAUCAAAGUACUAAUCUCUCUUAUCCUCGAGGGCAUUUUUUGAUUGAUCAUUACACAGCUAUCUCCCCUGCUCAGAACAAAAGCCCAGGAUUUAUUCUGUAUGCAACUUAGUCGGGUGCGCUGAGAUAACACAGCAUAGAAUGAAAGAACCCUCCCAAUGCUGGUUCAUCUUUGCGUGGAUGAAGUGGAACUGAAAUACCGCAUCUCUAACAGUAAGUAGUUUGUUUCAGGAUAAAAACAAACUGCAGCAUUACAUGAUCUUUACAGGAACAAGGGGAGUUUCAGCACUUGGAGGGAAACACCAGAUGAGAACAAAUAAAUAGGCUUCCCAGAGCAAAGUGGGCGCACUGCGAUGGAGACGCGGUUCUCUCUGCCAGGGGUUUGCGCCGGCCGCCCGCUGACAGCCGUCGGUUGGUGACAGCCGCCGUCUGGUGACAGCCGCAGACCUGUGACCACCGCAGCCCGGUGACAGCCGCCGUCCGGGA
RNAcentral lists this long non-coding RNA (566 nucleotides) under Gallus gallus (chicken). RNAcentral's name for it is "lncRNA (ENSGALG00010025100.1)". Lineage: Eukaryota; Metazoa; Chordata; Aves; Galliformes; Phasianidae. The record is from RNAcentral.